Molecule: long non-coding RNA, 244 nt
Organism: Xenia sp. Carnegie-2017
Lineage: Eukaryota; Metazoa; Cnidaria; Anthozoa; Malacalcyonacea; Xeniidae
Exons: 3
Source: RefSeq, a predicted model, not a curated record
UACGCUAAUUAGAAUGAUGGAGAUUAUCAAACGUUAAAUUGGACAAACGGAAGCAUUUCCUCCUUUUUUAUCGAUUCUUCGACAUUUUCUUGUUUUACCAAACGACAAUAGAGAAGCGAGAUAAAUUUGGGUUCUAGCGGAUAAAGUAAUCCAACAAAUGACAAUUCAAAGCGAAGAUGGCGAAGAUUUGGAAGAAUUGCGACAGAGGCUUGCUAAGCUUGACAUAAUUGACUAGACAACACAA